ACGAACGCUGGCGGCGUGCUUAACCCAUGCAAGUCGCACGGAAAGGCCCUGCUUUUGUGGGGUGCUCGAGUGGCGAACGGGUGAGUAACACGUGAGUAACCUGCCCUUGACUUUGGGAUAACUUCAGGAAACUGGGGCUAAUACCGGAUAGGAGCUCCUGCUGCAUGGUGGGGGUUGGAAAGUUUCGGCGGUUGGGGAUGGACUCGCGGCUUAUCAGCUUGUUGGUGGGGUAGUGGCUUACCAAGGCUUUGCCGGGUAGCCGGCCUGAGAGGGUGACCGGCCACAUUGGGACUGAGAUACGGCCCAGACUCCUACGGGAGGCAGCAGUGGGGAAUAUUGCACAAUGGGCGGAAGCCUGAUGCAGCAACGCCGCGUGCGGGAUGACGGCCUUCGGGUUGUAAACCGCUUUCGCCUGUGACGAAGCGUAAGUGACGGUAAUGGGUAAAGAAGCACCGGCUAACUACGUG
Molecule: ribosomal RNA, 467 nt
Filed under: uncultured bacterium
Lineage: Bacteria
Description: partial 16S ribosomal RNA
Rfam family: Bacterial small subunit ribosomal RNA
Source: RNAcentral